Eufriesea mexicana is the source of this 260-nucleotide long non-coding RNA. RefSeq lists it as uncharacterized. Lineage: Eukaryota; Metazoa; Arthropoda; Insecta; Hymenoptera; Apidae. The record is from RefSeq and is a predicted model, not a curated record. The transcript is spliced from 3 exons.
CACAGAAACACUGGACCAUUCUGGCACACGCGUCACUGUGAACUUCUUGGCAGCUCGAGUGGUUAAAAACUCAUAAGAUCAGAUAAGAUUAGAAGUUAAAUGGAAAUGUACAAAGUGUAGUGGGCAACCGGAAGAAAUUUCCGGACACAUGACGAUUAUCCUCACUCCAGUCCUCUCGUAAUGGUCACAGGGUGUUGAGAACACCUGGAUGAUCUUCGAUGAAGCAGAACUCACCGCAAAGGAUCGACUGAAGCUAACCA